RNAcentral lists this ribosomal RNA (469 nucleotides) under uncultured bacterium. RNAcentral's name for it is "partial 16S ribosomal RNA". It matches the Rfam family "Bacterial small subunit ribosomal RNA", at positions 28 to 507 of the family's 1533-position model. The record is from RNAcentral.
GACGAACGCUGGCGGCGUGCUUAACACAUGCAAGUCGAACGGAAAGGCCCUGCUUGCCGGGUGCUCGGGUGGCGACCGAGUGAGUAACACGUGGGUGAUCUGCCCCCUACUAUGGGAUAAGACUGGGAGACUGGGGCUACUACUGGAUAGGACCAUGCUGCAGCUGGUGAGGUGGAAAGAAAAGAUUCGGUAAGGGUUGAGCUCGCGGCCUAUCAGCUUGUUGGUGGGGUACUGGCCUACCAAGGCGUCGACGGGUAGCCGGCCUGAGAGGGUGGACGGCCCCGUUCGGACUGCGACACGAGCCAGCAGCCUGCGAGAGGCAGCAGUGGGGGAUAGUGUACCGUGGCAGCAAGCCUGAUGCAGCGACGGCGCGUGGGGGGUGACGGCCUUCGGGUUGUAUACUCCUUGCAGCCAUGACGAAGCCCUUGUGGUGACGGUAGUGGUAGAAGAAGCACCGGCUAACUACGUG